GAUGAACGCUAGCUACAGGCUUAACACAUGCAAGUCGCGGGGUAACAUCUGGUAGAGCUUGCUCUUUCAGGAUGGCGACCGGCGCACGGGUGAGUAACGCGUAUCCAACCUUCCCCUGUCCACGGGAUAGCCCGUCGAAAGGCGGAUUAAUACCGUAUGAGGUCACACGAUGGCAUCAGACUGUGACGAAAGGUUUGGCGGACAGGGAUGGGGAUGCGUCCGAUUAGGUAGUCGGCGGGGUAACGGCCCACCGAGCCGACGAUCGGUAGGGGUUCUGAGAGGAAGGUCCCCCACAUUGGAACUGAGACACGGUCCAAACUCCUACGGGAGGCAGCAGUGAGGAAUAUUGGUCAAUGGACGUAAGUCUGAACCAGCCAAGUAGCGUGCAGGAUGACGGCCCUAUGGGUUGUAAACUGUCUUUUAUGCGGGGAUAAAGUGAGGGACGCGUCCCUUUUUGCAGGUACCGCAUGAAUAAGGACCGGCUAACUCCGUG
Molecule: ribosomal RNA, 493 nt
Filed under: uncultured bacterium
Lineage: Bacteria
Description: bacterial SSU rRNA
Rfam family: Bacterial small subunit ribosomal RNA
Source: RNAcentral